UACGUAGGUGGCAAGCGUUGUCCGGAUUUACUGGCGUAAAGAGCGCGCAGGCGGUCGUUCAAGUCGCGUGUGAAAGCCCCGGCUCAACUGGGGAGGGUCACGCGAUACUGCUCGACUCGAAGGCAGGAGAGGGAAGUGGAAUUCCUGGUGUAGCGGUGAAUGACGCAGAGUAUCAGGAGGAACACCGGUGGCGAAGGCGGGUCUCUGGGCCGAUACUGACGCUGAGGAGCGAAAGCGUGGGGAGCGAACAGG
This 252-nucleotide ribosomal RNA is filed under the name uncultured bacterium. RNAcentral describes it as "partial 16S ribosomal RNA". It matches the Rfam family "Bacterial small subunit ribosomal RNA", at positions 524 to 776 of the family's 1533-position model. The record is from RNAcentral.